GACGAACGCUGGCGGCGUGCUUAACACAUGCAAGUCGAACGGAAAGGCCCCGCCGGGGUGGGGUGCGCGAGUGGCGAACGGGUGAGUAACACGUGCGUAACCUGCCCUUGGCUUUGGGACAACGUCAGGAAACUUGGGCUAAUACCUGAUAGGAGCUCCUGCGGCAGGGAGGGGGUUGGAAAGUUUCGGCGGUUGUGGCUGGACCCGCGGCUUAUCAGCUUGCUGGUGGGGUAGUGGCAGACCAAGGCAUUGGCGGGUAGCCGGCCUGGGAGGGUGACCGGCCCCAUUGGGCCUGCGAUACGGCCCAGACUCCUACGUGAGGCAGCGGUGGGGAACAUUGCACAGUGGGCCGGCGCCUGAUACAGCGACGCCGCGUUCGGGAUCACGGCCUUCGGGUUGUAAACCGCUUUCGCCUGUGACGAAGCGUGAGUGACGGUACUGGGUAAAGAAGCACCGGCUAACUACGUG
RNAcentral lists this ribosomal RNA (468 nucleotides) under uncultured bacterium. RNAcentral describes it as "partial 16S ribosomal RNA". It matches the Rfam family "Bacterial small subunit ribosomal RNA", at positions 28 to 507 of the family's 1533-position model. The record is from RNAcentral.